Transfer RNA from Loxodonta africana (African savanna elephant), 73 nucleotides. It matches the Rfam family "tRNA". Rfam says of the family: Transfer RNA (tRNA) molecules are approximately 80 nucleotides in length. Their secondary structure includes four short double-helical elements and three loops (D, anti-codon, and T loops). NCBI's taxonomy places the organism in Eukaryota, Metazoa, Chordata, Mammalia, Proboscidea, Elephantidae. The record is from Rfam.
GGCUCCGUAGCUCAGGGGUUAGAGCACUGGUCUCGUAAACCAGGGGUCGUGAGUUCGAAUCUCACUGGAGCCU